CCCCCCCCCCCCCCCCCCCCCCCCCCCCCCCCCCCCCCCCCCCCCCCCCCCCCCCCCCCCCCCCCCCCCCCCCCCCCCCCCCCCCCCCCCCCCCCCCCCCCCCCCCCCCCCCCCCCCCAACGAACAAAUAAAAACACUAAAACAAAAAGAGGUGGGCGGGCGGUGGCAUCAUGGUCUGGCCGGGCAGUGCGCUCCCGUCUCCCCGCGGGCCGCUCCUGUUGUUUUCCCAGCAAUAGUCUGGGUAGGGCGAGCGUUUUCCAGCCGUGCCCUUGGACCUUUUUUCUGGAGCGGCCUUGGGGCACCGUCAGCGGCCAAGCCGGGGUGCGGGAGCGGGAAUCCCGCGGGCCGGGUGGCAACGAGUCCCGUGUGUUCUGUACAGAAAGGGAAUUCCCCUGUGUGCUCCAAAAAUCACAGUAGAAAAGUAGCAGCAAGGAAAAUAAGCUGAGGACAGAGAAAUAAGACGGAGAUGAGUUAUUACCAAACCAAGGGAGAAUUUCCAUCUUAAAAGCCACUACAAGAAAGAAAGAUAUAAAAGGUACUGUGUUUCUGCAGCUGAGUCUCUUGAGUGUCUUGUUACUAUUUCAUUAUGUGUGUUCUUAAAUCCUUAAUAAACACUGUCCUUCUAUUGAAUUGUCUUUACACUUCAGAAUUUCCUUUGUUUGCAUGCUGUUGAAGGCAAACUAAAAUUUAUUUUUUAUUUAACAUAGUGGUAGAGUGGUUGAAGAGCAGAAAGAAGGGAAUAGCCCUAUGAUAUCUCUUAAAAGUGGAACUAGGACAGGACCCUCUGCCAUUGUUCAUUGUGCCCAGAGCAGAGGCAGUGGCAGGGAUAAAACACAAAUGCAGCUGAGGAAAACAGGGAUGUCAGUUUUCUCUUUUGUGCUUUCUCUGAUCCAUCUCUCCCUUUUCCUAUUACCAUGAAAAUACUAAUUUAGCUUCAUUCUACCCCGACAGAGCAGAGGAUGUCUCUCAACUGUGGGACUUCUUCCUACAGGCAGUAAGGGUCAGACUCUCAGGAUGUCUUUUCCUCUCUCCAUGCCCUCCCUGCCAGCUAUAUCUCAGUCUUUCUGGAGUCAAAAGCCGUUCCUCUGGUCACUUAGAGGAUGACCAUAAACAUUUUCUGCUGCUCUGAAUUCACCUCAAUACUUUGGUGUGCCUGUUUUAAAUCUGGGGACUUGAAAGUGAAUAAUGGGAUUAAAUAUUAAAGUACUCUUGUUUAUUUUCCUG
Molecule: long non-coding RNA, 1224 nt
Filed under: Ficedula albicollis (Collared flycatcher)
Lineage: Eukaryota; Metazoa; Chordata; Aves; Passeriformes; Muscicapidae
Description: lncRNA (ENSFALG00000023294.1)
Source: RNAcentral